Long non-coding RNA from Juglans regia (Persian walnut), 909 nucleotides. RefSeq lists it as uncharacterized. NCBI's taxonomy places the organism in Eukaryota, Viridiplantae, Streptophyta, Magnoliopsida, Fagales, Juglandaceae. The transcript has 4 exons. The record is from RefSeq and is a predicted model, not a curated record.
CUCUGUCAAAGACUCGAAAACGAAAACUCUUGUCAUUAUACAUUCAUCUCCCCACUGCAACCCUUGCUACUGUCGCCGUUCUCCAUCGAUAUUCGCUGUUGCCGUUCGCCAUCACCGUCUUCUGUCAUCGUAGAGAUUCAAGAGAACAUGAAAGCCAUUGAUGUCAUCCCACUGCUGACUCCAGUCGUGAUGGAAAGGAUUGAGGCUGUUGUUCAAAGCAAGCCAAAGCGUCCAGAUUCAUAUAGGUAGUGGUGCAAAUAGCCUGCGACGAUGUCUACAACGUAAAAGAGUUUGGCUUGUUUGAAAUGAGGAAGAGAAGACACGGGAAUGAGGAAGCACUUGCGGUGAUUCUGUGUGGCGAAAUCACCAAAGACCAAAGGAAAGAAAGAGGUUGGCGAAUCUGCACCACGACGGUUGUCUGCUCGGUAUCUUCUGAUCUUGCUGGUGGUGGUUGCAGAACAUGGUAGCGAAUCGAACACAAGAAAGGCCAGGUGAGGCUCACAGUGGUGUUUUCCCAAUGGAAAAGGAUGAGUGUUCUGUUUAUGUGUUGGCUGAACAAGGGCUUGUGGAUGCUACGGUGGCGAUAUUGGCUCACGUGGGUGGCUGAGGCCGUGAUGAGGCUAAGCUUCCCUUCGAGCAGUGCUGUCUGAUGGUAGUGGGUCUUGGUGUUUGGUGGUUGAAGUGUGAUGGUUGUGCUACGGUGUAAAUUAGAGUGGCCUGUAGCUGCUUCUCAAUUUGUAUGUUGUGAGGAACAUAGCGUGGUUUGUUGGUCGUGCAUGGAGGAUCUGGUUUGAUGUGGGGCUUCCUAUGGAGGUGCUACACCCUGAUUUCUUUGCACGUUUUUUUAUGUAUAUUGUGAUGUGCAUUAGUUUCCAGAUAUAUUAAUGAGAUGAGAUGAAAGGUUUUGGA